UUUGUAGUUCAGGAUUUAGAGAACAUGAAAGUAAACUAGCUUCUGAUAUGAAUGGAAUCUUUUAAGGAAUUUAGAGAACUUUUGGGGAAUUCAUGUGUAUGGAUAGCGAGUGAACAAAUGCGACUUCAGUAGCUACAUUGAUACACUACAAAUCAAUUCAAACAUAUCCUCCUCGCUUCGGCACCCCCAACCAACAAGAAAAAGAAAGAAAAACUAAAUGAUGACGAAGAAGAAUAAGAAAAGUUACCAUUGUUUUGGUACUUAGACUUGUAAAGAAGAUGGAUGCCGUUUAAAUCACUUUCAAGACCUGCAAUGCAUCAAAUGAAAUUAAGAACUAAAUAACAAUUAAGUACUCCAGUUGCUAAUUACUCACUGAUUAAAAAACCUGAGUGCUAAUACAACAGAUAUCUCUAAAUAUCAGCUAAUUAAUCUUUUUAAUGAGCAAAAAUUCCAACCAUAAACAUUUCUAUUUUAUUCAACCACAUUCCAAAUAUUCAGAAUAUAGUCAACAAGAAAAUAAAACUAGAAUCAUGAAUCAAAUGAUACCUCUGUAAAUCAUCCAACUGCAUUAAAAAUGAACAAGUAAUUCUAAUAUAUAUACACAUAAAUCAAAACAAAAUUAACAAGCAAAAACAUAGAAAGAUUAGAUCUUGAAUGAAAGAAUUCACCUCUAUAAUAGGUCUCUGAAGAGAGCUAAAAACAGCUUAUUAAUUUGAUACUCCUUUUCCAAGUUCCAAGCUUUAAGGGAUUGACAAUUAUAUAUGUAUUACUUAUAAUUCCAGGAAAAGGUACAAGUCUACAGAAAUGAACAGGUAAAACCAACCCCAGUUGAAAACGUUUUAUAUUUAUGGCAAGUUGAUUAAAGAAAUAUUAAAAAUAAAAGUUGAAGAAAAAGCCAAGAUUGAAUAUGUCAGCUGUCUUUAUCAAAA
This 929-nucleotide long non-coding RNA is filed under the name Nicotiana tabacum (common tobacco). RNAcentral describes it as "long non-coding RNA (NTAB_LNC008200)". The record is from RNAcentral. Lineage: Eukaryota; Viridiplantae; Streptophyta; Magnoliopsida; Solanales; Solanaceae.